GAAAAAACGAUGGUGGAGCUAGGAUUUAUACUUGGUGUGACUCUUAAAGUCGGUUUUCCAGCACUUUGGGAGGCUGAGGCGUGUGGAUCACCUGAGGUCAGGAGUUCGAGACUAGCCUGGCCAACGUGGUAAAACCCAGUCUCUACUAAAGAUACAAAAAUUAGUGGGGCAUUGUAGUGCAUGCCUAUAAUCCCACCUACUCAGGAAGCUGAGACAGAAUUGCUUGAACCCGGGAGGUGGAGGCUGCAGUGAGCCUAGAUCUCUCCACUGCACUCCAGCCUGGGCAACAGAGUGAGACUCCAUCUCAAAAAAAAAAUAUUUUGUACUAGCACAUUGAUUAAUUGUGUUAAUCAGAAUUGAUUGAAUCUGUUAUCUGGACAUUGUACGUAGAUUGCGUUGAAUGUUGUAUUGGCUGUCUACGUUAGAUGCAGGUUACAGUGUAGGUUUUCCAGAGUUUUUGGGCUGGGCACACACACUCUUAAGUUGGCAGCUUUCUUUUUAACAGUGGUGGUGAGCUUCUUUAAAUAACGACUUCCUAAAUUUGUGAAAGAGUGUGUGUACUGGGAGGGAGAGAAGUGCUGUUACAAAACCCCAAGGCUUCUUGUCUGUGGGUUGAGCACAGCCCGCUACGGUUUUGGAAAGAUGGAUUUCCUGGAAGACAACUUUGCUACUGAGCAUCAUCUAGUAAAUAAAGUCCUAAGACACAGAAGUCUAUAACAAAUAUUGGAAAUUAUUGUUAAUCCAAACAAUCUCAGAUAUAUUUGACAUCCAUAUGUUUUAAUUGUAUAGCCCAGUUAUGUCAAGCAGAGUCAUGUACUGCAUAAAGAUGUUUUGGUCAAUGAUCAACUGCAUAUAUGAUGGUGGUACUGUGAGAUCAUUAUGGAGCUGAAAAAUCCCUAUUGCCUAAUGACAUCAUAGCUGUCAUAACUUCAUAGCACAACAUGUCACUCAUAUCACUCAUAUGUUUGUUACAACAUGUUACAAACAUAUGAGUAACGUGUUGUGCUAUGAUAUUAUGCAGGUAUAAACAAACCUACACAGACUGCAUUGCCAGUCAUAAAGAAGUAUAGCCCAUACAAUUAUGUACAGUACAUAAUAUUUGAUAAUGAUAAUAAAUGACUAUGUUACUGGCAUAUGUAUUUAUUAUGCUGUAUUUUUAAAUCAUUAUUUUAGAGUAUACUGCUUCUGCUUAUAAAGAAAAAGUUAACUGUAAAACAGCCUCAGAUGGGUCCUUUAGCAGGUAUUCUAGAAGAAGAGAUUAUCAUAGAAGAUGACUGCUCUGUGUGUGUUAUUGCCCCUGAAUACCUCCCAGUGGGUAGAGAUAAGGAGGUGAAAGACAGUGACUUUGAUGAUCCUGACACUGUGUAGGUCUAGGCUGAUGUAUGUGAUUGUGUCUUAGAUUUUAACAAAAAAGUUUAAAAACUAAAAGAAAUAAUUUUGAAAAUGGAAAAAACUUAUAGAUUAUAAGGAUACAAGGAUAUAAAUAAAAUAAUUUGUAGAGCUGUGUAAUAUGUUUGUGUUCAAGCUCAGUGUUAUCAUGAACAGGUUGAAAAGUAAGAAAAAUUUAAAAAGUUGAUAAAGUAAAAAAGUUACACUAAGCUAAGAUUACUUUAUUAUUGAAAAAAAUUUUUAUAUAAAUUUAGGGUAUCCU
This 1651-nucleotide long non-coding RNA is filed under the name Homo sapiens (human). Its description in RNAcentral is "HSALNT0030457". Lineage: Eukaryota; Metazoa; Chordata; Mammalia; Primates; Hominidae. The record is from RNAcentral.